RNAcentral lists this transfer RNA (85 nucleotides) under Felis catus (domestic cat). It matches the Rfam family "tRNA". Rfam says of the family: Transfer RNA (tRNA) molecules are approximately 80 nucleotides in length. Their secondary structure includes four short double-helical elements and three loops (D, anti-codon, and T loops). The record is from Rfam by way of RNAcentral. Lineage: Eukaryota; Metazoa; Chordata; Mammalia; Carnivora; Felidae.
GCCUGGGUGGCUCAGUCGGUUGGGCAUCCGACUUCAGCUCAGGUCGUGAUCCCGAGGUUCGUGGGUUCAAGCCCCACGUCGGGCU